RNAcentral lists this transfer RNA (95 nucleotides) under Ralstonia pseudosolanacearum. RNAcentral describes it as "tRNA-Asn". Lineage: Bacteria; Pseudomonadati; Pseudomonadota; Betaproteobacteria; Burkholderiales; Burkholderiaceae. The record is from RNAcentral.
UGCGGAUUCGGGCCGGGCAGCCGCCAUUCGCGCCAUUGAUGCGUUGCCGGGUCGAACAUGCCGACCUGGCCGGCGUUCCACUCGCUGAUCCACAC